RNAcentral lists this ribosomal RNA (466 nucleotides) under uncultured bacterium. RNAcentral's name for it is "partial 16S ribosomal RNA". It matches the Rfam family "Bacterial small subunit ribosomal RNA", at positions 339 to 795 of the family's 1533-position model. The record is from RNAcentral.
CUACGGGGCGCUGCAGUGAGGAAUUUUGCGCAAUGGGGGAAACCCUGACGCAGCAACGCCGCGUGAGUGAUGAAGGCCUUCGGGUCGUAAAACUCUGUCAAGUGGGAAGAACCUAUGUAAGGUUAAUACCCUUAUGUACUGACGGUACCACUGAAGGAAGCACCGGGUAACUCCGUGCCAGCAGCCGCGGUAAUAGCGGAGGGUGCAAGCGUUAUUCGGAAUUAUUGGGCGUAAAGGGCGCGCAGGCGGUUUUGUAGGUCAGAUGUGAAAGCCCGGGGCUUAACCUCGGAAGUGCAUUUGAGACUGCAAGACUUGAGUAUGGGAGGGGGAAGUGGAAUUCCUGGUGUAGAGGUGAAAUUCGUAGAUAUCAGGAGGAACACCAGUGGCGAAGGCGACUUCCUGGACCAAUACUGACGCUGAGGCGCGAAGGCGUGGGGAGCAAACAGGAUUAGAUACCCGAGUAGUC